This 587-nucleotide ribosomal RNA is filed under the name Acarospora strigata. Its description in RNAcentral is "eukaryotic LSU rRNA". The stretch from base 230 to 383 matches the Rfam family "5.8S ribosomal RNA". Lineage: Eukaryota; Fungi; Ascomycota; Lecanoromycetes; Acarosporales; Acarosporaceae. The record is from RNAcentral.
UUAGAGGAAGUAAAAGUCGUAACAAGGUUUCCGUAGGUGAACCUGCGGAAGGAUCAUUACAGAGUUAGGGUCUUUUCAGGCCCGAUCUCCAACCCUAUGUAUACCUACCUUUGUUGCUUUGGCGGGCCCGCUGGGGUGACCCACCGGCGGCCUUUGGCUUCCGAGUGCCCGUCAGAGACCCACCAAAACCUUGUUAACUGUGCUGUCUGAGUACCAAUGUAAUAAUUAAAACUUUCAACAACGGAUCUCUUGGUUCUGGCAUCGAUGAAGAACGCAGCGAAAUGCGAUAAGUAAUGUGAAUUGCAGAAUUCAGUGAAUCAUCGAAUCUUUGAACGCACAUUGCGCCUCUCGGUAUUCCGGGGGGCAUGCCUGUUCGAGCGUCAUUACACCACUCAAGCUCGGCUUGGUGUUGGGCCCUCGUCCCCUGUGGACGUGCCCGGAAAUCAGUGGCGGCACAGCCCGGCUUCAAGCGGUAUCAGUUUAUCUUUGCUUUGGAAGCUUCAGGCUUGGGUCUGCCAGACAACCCCAUCAUUUCAUCAAGGUUGACCUCGGAUCAGGUAGGGAUACCCGCUGAACUUAAGCAUAUC